AUCAGUUAAGACGGGUGUCCCUAA
This 24-nucleotide non-coding RNA is filed under the name Arabidopsis thaliana (thale cress). Lineage: Eukaryota; Viridiplantae; Streptophyta; Magnoliopsida; Brassicales; Brassicaceae. The record is from RNAcentral.